GAUGAACGCUGGCGGCGUGCCUAAUACAUGCAAGUCGAGCGAAUGGAUUAAGAGCUUGCUCUUAUGAAGUUAGCGGCGGACGGGUGAGUAACACGUGGGUAACCUGCCCAUAAGACUGGGAUAACUCCGGGAAACCGGGGCUAAUACCGGAUAACAUUUUGAACCGCAUGGUUCGAAAUUGAAAGGCGGCUUCGGCUGUCAGUUAUGGAUGGACCCGGGUCGCAUUAGCUAGUUGGUGAGGUAACGGCUCACCAAGGCAACGAUGCGUAGCCGACCUGAGAGGGUGAUCGGCCACACUGGGACUGAGAAACGGCCCAGACUCCUACGGGAGGCAGCAGUAGGGAAUCUUCCGCAAUGGACGAAAGUCUGACGGAGCAACGCCGCGUGAGUGAUGAAGGCUUUCGGGUCGUAAAACUCUGUUGUUAGGGAAGAACAAGUGCUAGUUGAAUAAGCUGGCACCUUGACGGUACCUAACCAGAAAGCCACGGCUGACUACGUGCCAGCCGCCGCAGUAA
Molecule: ribosomal RNA, 515 nt
Filed under: uncultured bacterium
Lineage: Bacteria
Description: partial 16S ribosomal RNA
Rfam family: Bacterial small subunit ribosomal RNA
Source: RNAcentral